GGAAUAUAGCUCAAUUGGUAGAGUAUCUGCCUUGCAUACACAAGGCCCUAGGUUCAAUCCCCAGUACCA
Molecule: transfer RNA, 69 nt
Filed under: Marmota monax (woodchuck)
Lineage: Eukaryota; Metazoa; Chordata; Mammalia; Rodentia; Sciuridae
Description: tRNA.Ala
Rfam family: tRNA (bases 5-66)
About the family: Transfer RNA (tRNA) molecules are approximately 80 nucleotides in length. Their secondary structure includes four short double-helical elements and three loops (D, anti-codon, and T loops).
Source: RNAcentral